GGCGACAUAGCCAAGUGGUAAGGCAACGGUCUGCAAAACCGUUAUUCAUCGGUUCAAAUCCGAUUGUCGCCU
RNAcentral lists this transfer RNA (72 nucleotides) under Candidatus Rifleibacteriota bacterium. RNAcentral's name for it is "tRNA-Cys". It matches the Rfam family "tRNA". Rfam says of the family: Transfer RNA (tRNA) molecules are approximately 80 nucleotides in length. Their secondary structure includes four short double-helical elements and three loops (D, anti-codon, and T loops). Further hydrogen bonds mediate the characteristic L-shaped molecular structure. tRNAs have two regions of fundamental functional importance: the anti-codon, which is responsible for specific mRNA codon recognition, and the 3' end, to which the tRNAs corresponding amino acid is attached (by aminoacyl-tRNA synthetases). tRNAs cope with the degeneracy of the genetic code in two manners: having more than one tRNA (with a specific anti-codon) for a particular amino acid; and 'wobble' base-pairing, i.e. permitting non-standard base-pairing at the 3rd anti-codon position. RNAcentral also lists the same sequence under 1 other name. The record is from RNAcentral. Lineage: Bacteria; Candidatus Rifleibacteriota.